CUACGGGUCGCUGCAGUGAGGAAUUUUGCGCAAUGGGGGGAACCCUGACGCAGCAACGCCGCGUGAGUGAUGAAGGCUUUCGGGUCGUAAAGCUCUGUCAAGUGGGAAGAACCUAUGCAGUGUUAAUAUCACUGUAUACUGACGGUACCACUGAAGGAAGCACCGGCUAACUCCGUGCCAGCAGCCGCGGUAAUACGGGGGGUGCAAGCGUUAUUCGGAAUCAUUGGGCGUAAAGGGCACGUAGGCGGCUUGGUAAGUCAGAUGUGAAAGCCCGGGGCUUAACCCCGGAAGUGCAUUUGAUACUGUCAGGCUUGAGUAUGGGAGAGGGAAGUGGAAUUCCUGGUGUAGAGGUGAAAUUCGUAGAUAUCAGGAGGAACACCGGUGGCGAAGGCGACUUCCUGGACCAAUACUGACGCUGAGGUGCGAAGGCGUGGGUAGCAAACAGGAUUAGAUACCCCGGUAGUC
RNAcentral lists this ribosomal RNA (465 nucleotides) under uncultured bacterium. RNAcentral describes it as "partial 16S ribosomal RNA". It matches the Rfam family "Bacterial small subunit ribosomal RNA", at positions 339 to 795 of the family's 1533-position model. The record is from RNAcentral.